ACAUAAUCAUAAUGAAAGAGUUUGAAAUACUGUGAUGGUUACCAAAAUGUGACCCAGAGACACGAAGCAAGCAUGUACUGUUGGAAAAACAGCACCUAGAGCGUUGCUUGAGGCGGGAUUGCCACAAACCUGCCAUUUGUAAGAAGGACGGUAUACGCAAAGCUCAAUAAAGCCAAGUGCAAUGACGUGAGCUGUGCUUGUGCCACACACCGAGUGGCUUGAAACAGCAGACCUGUAUUCUCUCACAGUCCUGGGGUUAGAAGUCCAAAAUCCAGGGGUCAGCAGGGACAUGCUGUGUCUGUGACUCUAGGAGAAUCCUCUGCGUCUUCUGGGUUCCUGCUUGUGGCCAGCAAUCUCUGUCACUCUCUGGCUGGUAACUGUGUAAUUCCAGUCCUGCCUGGGUUGCCAGAUGGCGUUCUCCCCAUGUGCUUCUCUGUCUCUCUGUUAUAGGGACACUAGUCAUAUCGGAAUAGAGGCCCAUCCUACUCUGGUGCGAUCUCAACUUUCAUUUAUUUGUUUAUUCGCUUGUUUCUUUUCUUUUCUUUUCUUUCUUUUUUUUGGAGAUGGAAUUUCAUUCUUGUUGCCCAGGCUGGAGUGCAGUGGUGCCAUCUCAGCUCACAGCAACCUCUGCCUCCCAAGUUCAAGCGAUUCUCCUGCCUCAGCCUCUCAAGUAUUUGGGACUACAGGGGCACGCCACCACACCUGCUAAUUUUGUAUUUUUGUAGAGACGGGGUUUCACCAUGUUGGCCAG
This 751-nucleotide long non-coding RNA is filed under the name Papio anubis (olive baboon). RNAcentral's name for it is "lncRNA (ENSPANG00000037992.1)". The record is from RNAcentral. Lineage: Eukaryota; Metazoa; Chordata; Mammalia; Primates; Cercopithecidae.